RNAcentral lists this ribosomal RNA (432 nucleotides) under uncultured bacterium. RNAcentral describes it as "partial 16S ribosomal RNA". It matches the Rfam family "Bacterial small subunit ribosomal RNA", at positions 29 to 506 of the family's 1533-position model. The record is from RNAcentral.
AACGAACGCUGGCGGCAGGCCUAACACAUGCAAGUCGAGCGAGGACUUCGGUCCUAGCGGCGGACGGGUGAGUAACGCGUGGGAACGUGCCCUUUGCUUCGGAAUAGCCCUGGGAAACUGGGAGUAAUACCGGAUGAGCCCUUUGGGGGAAAGAUUUAUCGGCGAAGGAUCGGCCCGCGUUGGAUUAGGUAGUUGGUGGGGUAAUGGCCUACCAAGCCGACGAUCCAUAGCUGGUUUGAGAGGAUGAUCAGCCACACUGGGACUGAGACACGGCCCAGACUCCUACGGGAGGCAGCAGUGGGGAAUCUUAGACAAUGGGUGAAACCCUGAUCUAGCCAUGCCGCGUGAGCGAUGAAGGCCUUAGGGUUGUAAAGCUCUUUCAGCUGGGAAGAUAAUGACGGUACCAGCAGAAGAAGCCCCGGCUAACUCCGU